Molecule: non-coding RNA, 72 nt
Organism: Phrynosoma platyrhinos (Desert horned lizard)
Lineage: Eukaryota; Metazoa; Chordata; Lepidosauria; Squamata; Phrynosomatidae
Source: the annotation of a GenBank genome assembly
UGGAGAGAGCCUUAGUGGUUUGAGUGUUGGACUAUGAUUCUGGAGACCAGGGUUCGAUUCCUGGCUCAGCCA